RNAcentral lists this ribosomal RNA (800 nucleotides) under Scrippsiella acuminata. Its description in RNAcentral is "partial large subunit ribosomal RNA". It matches the Rfam family "Eukaryotic large subunit ribosomal RNA", at positions 48 to 852 of the family's 3401-position model. The record is from RNAcentral. Lineage: Eukaryota; Dinophyceae; Peridiniales; Peridiniaceae.
AAGCGGAGGAAAAGAAACUAAAUAGGAUUCCCUCAGUAAUGGCGAAUGAACAGGGAUGAGCUCAGUAUGGAAAUUGGGGCCUGUGGCCUUGAAUUGUAGUCUGGAGAUGUACCACCAACUGGGGCGCAGAUGUAAGCCUCUUGGAAAAGAGCAUCAAUGAGGGUGAGAGUCCCGCUUGGCAUCUGCAGUCCCCAGUGCACGGUGUACCUUCUAAGAGUCACGUUCCUCGGGAUUGGAGCGCAAAUCGGGUGGUAAGUUUCAUCUAAAGCUAAAUAUAGUUUCGAGACCGAUAGCAAACAAGUACCAUGAGGGAAAGGUGAAAAGGACUUUGAAAAGAGAGUUAAAAGUGCCUGAAAUUGCUGAAAGGGAAGCGAAUGGAACCAGCGUAACUUGGCGAGAUUGCUGCGUGUCAAUGUGAUUGCUUGCUGCUUCAACGUAAGUGUUGUAGUAAGUCUUGAACAGGACAUGCGCGGUGCUUCUUGCCUUGUGUGUCACCGUCAGUUCGCAACUGGGGAAAACUUCAGGGACAUGGUAGCCUGUCUCCGGGUGGGUGAACGUGUUUGCUGGAACUCAUUUGCGGAUUGCUUGGUGACUAAAUGGUUCCAUCUGACCCGUCUUGAAACACGGACCAAGGAGUCUAACAUAUGUGCAAGUUCACGGGUGUUAAACCUGCUUGCGUAAUGAAAGUGACUGCUGGGAUUUUUGCACCAGCAACCGACCAAUCAAUUGAGAGAGGUUUGAGUAUGAGCAUAUCUGUUAGGACCCGAAAGAUGGUGAACUAUGCCUGUGAAGGGCAAACU